RNAcentral lists this transfer RNA (65 nucleotides) under Krusa mexicana. Its description in RNAcentral is "tRNA-Val". The record is from RNAcentral. Lineage: Eukaryota; Metazoa; Arthropoda; Arachnida; Opiliones; Sclerosomatidae.
CUAAAUGAAGCUUAUUUGAGCAUCUUAUUUACAUUAAGGAGGACUUUAGAAAUGAAGCAUUUUGA